UGGGCGUGUUUUUGGUCGAACAGAAGCAGGAGAAACAAGGGUUACCCUUGUUCUUGCAAAACUCAUCAAUUGACAAGGAAAUUCAGUGUUAAUCGGCUGCAUGUUACCAGAUUUUCGAUUAACCUAACAUCCUCUAUAAAGUGGCGUGAAGGAAGAAGGUUCAAGUACUAAGAAAUCGGAAGGCUCACAAGAUCGAGGUAAAUCCUCAUUUUAGGCGACUUGGCAAUUUGGGGCGAGCACGUGCACAUAUUAUGA
Molecule: long non-coding RNA, 255 nt
Organism: Helianthus annuus (common sunflower)
Lineage: Eukaryota; Viridiplantae; Streptophyta; Magnoliopsida; Asterales; Asteraceae
Exons: 3
Source: RefSeq, a predicted model, not a curated record